RNAcentral lists this ribosomal RNA (442 nucleotides) under uncultured bacterium. RNAcentral's name for it is "partial 16S ribosomal RNA". It matches the Rfam family "Bacterial small subunit ribosomal RNA", at positions 338 to 795 of the family's 1533-position model. The record is from RNAcentral.
CCUACGGGAGGCAGUAGUGGGGAAUAUUGGGCAAUGGGCGCAAGCCUGACCCAGCAACGCCGCGUGAAGGAAGAAGGCUUUCGGGUUGUAAACUUCUUUUGUCAGGGAAGAGUAGAAGACGGUACCUGACGAAUAAGCCACGGCUAACUACGUGCCAGCAGCUGCGGUAAUACGUAGGUGGCAAGCGUUGUCCGGAUUUACUGGGUGUAAAGGGCGUGUAGCCGGGUUGACAAGUCAGAUGUGAAAUCCUGCGGCUUAACCGCAGAACUGCAUUUGAAACUGUUAAUCUUGAGUACUGGAGAGGCAGAUGGAAUUCCUAGUGUAGCGGUGAAAUGCGUAGAUAUUAGGAGGAACACCAGUGGCGAAGGCGGUCUGCUGGACAGCAACUGACGGUGAGGCGCGAAAGCGUGGGGAGCAAACAGGAUUAGAUACCCCUGUAGUC